RNAcentral lists this unclassified non-coding RNA (345 nucleotides) under soil metagenome. RNAcentral's name for it is "partial contains 5.8S ribosomal RNA, internal transcribed spacer 2, and large subunit ribosomal RNA". The stretch from base 1 to 120 matches the Rfam family "5.8S ribosomal RNA", at positions 35 to 154 of the family's 154-position model. The record is from RNAcentral.
GAUGAAGAACGCAGCGAAAUGCGAUACGUAAUGUGAAUUGCAGAAUUCAGUGAAUCAUCGAGUCUUUGAACGCACAUUGUGCCCCCUGGUAUUCCGGGGGGCAUGCCUGUCCGAGCGUCAUUGCUGCCCUCAAGCACGGCUUGUGUGUUGGGCCUCCGUCCUCCUGCCGGGGGACGGGCCCGAAAGGCAGCGGCGGCACCGCGUCCGGUCCUCGAGCGUAUGGGGCUUCGUCACCCGCUCUUGUAGGCCCGGCCGGCGCUUGCCGACACAUCAAUCUUUUUUCCAGGUUGACCUCGGAUCAGGUAGGGAUACCCGCUGAACUUAAGCAUAUCAAUAAGCGGAGGA